RNAcentral lists this ribosomal RNA (515 nucleotides) under uncultured bacterium. Its description in RNAcentral is "partial 16S ribosomal RNA". It matches the Rfam family "Bacterial small subunit ribosomal RNA", at positions 28 to 523 of the family's 1533-position model. The record is from RNAcentral.
GAUGAACGCUGGCGGCGUGCCUAACACAUGCAAGUCGAGCGAAUGGAUUAAGAGCUUGCUCUUAUGAAGUUAGCGGCGGACGGGUGAGUAACACGUGGGUAACCUGCCCAUAAGACUGGGAUAACUCCGGGAAACCGGGGCUAAUACCGGAUAACAUUUUGAACCGCAUGGUUCGAAAUUGAAAGGCGGCUUCGGCUGUCACUUAUGGAUGGACCCGCGUCGCAUUAGCUAGUUGGUGAGGUAACGGCUCACCAAGGCAACGAUGCGUAGCCGACCUGGGAGGGUGAUCGGCAACACUGGAACUGAGAAACGGCCCAGACUCCUACGGGAGGCAGCAGUAGGGAAUCGUCCGCAAUGGACGAAAGUCUGACGGAGCAACGCCGCGUGAGUGAUGAAGGCUUUCGGGUCGUAAAACUCUGUUGUUAGGGAAGAACAAGUGCUAGUUGAAUAAGCUGGCACCUUGACGGUGCCUAACCAGAAAGCCACGGCUAACUACGUGCCAGCCGCCGCCGUAA